GCCCGGGUGGUGGAACUGGCAGACACGUACGUUUGAGGGGCGUAUGCCUCACGGCUUGCGAGUUCGAGUCUCGCCCCGGGCA
Molecule: transfer RNA, 82 nt
Filed under: Planctomycetes bacterium RBG_16_59_8
Lineage: Bacteria; Pseudomonadati; Planctomycetota
Description: tRNA-Leu
Source: RNAcentral